This 905-nucleotide long non-coding RNA is filed under the name Monodelphis domestica (gray short-tailed opossum). Its description in RNAcentral is "lncRNA (ENSMODG00000034591.2)". The record is from RNAcentral. Lineage: Eukaryota; Metazoa; Chordata; Mammalia; Didelphimorphia; Didelphidae.
AGUUCAACUUGGAACUGUCACUUGGAGUAGAACCUCCUGUGAGAGAGAGUUCUACUUGGAGAUCUACUGGCAGUUCGACUUGGAAUGGAGGCUGAUUAAAGAAUCUGCUGACUGGACUGGCACGAACCUCAGUUAUGGAUUUGAGACUUUGGGCCAUGGUUAGGUGCUGCUCCAUCAUACACUCUAACCUGAAAUGAUCAGGUCAAUUUCCUGGGCUCUUCCUCCUGUUUUCCAUCUAACAUGAUGUGUCAGGGGACUGGUAAAUGUCGGACUCCUCCUUUGAUGAUAACAGAUCCUGUGUCAGCUUGCUGGGUGAGUGACGGAGAUUCUUGCCUUGGCUUUUUGGAAGAGGCUGUGUUGGUAGAACCCUGGCUGAAGACACCACUGGGACUUCUGGCUGAGGAUUACCAGACUGGGGCAGAACUUGGCUUCUCAGGAGAAGGACUGAAUAUGACUAUCCAGUUUUGAAGAGUCCAGAGGAUUUUGGAAUUCCCAUUUGUCCAUUAUUAUCUCAAAUAUCUUCCUCAAAUCCAGUUACCAGCACUAUCUGAAUGAUGAACUCAACCAAGAUGGAUGAAGAUUCAUCGUGCUUACAAAUUCCAUGAAUAGGGGAAAAAUGACUUCCAGCCACCAGAAACUAUGAGUUGUCCCUUUGCCACUUGUGCUGAUUAAACUUAAGCCUACCCAACACUAGAUUCUGUAUGUACUUAAGAGCGUGUUGCAGACUUCUAGGGUUGUAUUUGUGUCAACUUCAUAAUGGGCCACUUUAGUAAGUAACUCUUUCUGAAAGCUGCUUAAGUUUGGUUGACUAAAUUGAUUCUCAUAUGAUAAUCUGAAUGUGGUGUGAAUGGGGUAGAAAACACUGAUAGAGUUUGAGUCAACAGUGUUAGAACAGAGAUUCUGGG